UCUGCACUGUUGCCUGACUGAACAGUCCUGGCAAUUUUCAUCAACUCAGGGUCCUCAUGCUGUCUCUGAGCUAUCUGCUCCAGAAACACAGGUGUCACUCUCAUCUGUGCUAUCAACGCACCUGUACCAGACAACUCUAGCUGUAAUCCCUCGGCAAAGAGCUUAUAAAGCUCCAUCACAACUGGUCUCCGCUCUGCUGCUAUAUGGGAUAAACUGCCUAGUGACUUCCGGCUUAGGGCGUCUGCGACAACAUUCGCUUUACCCGG
Molecule: long non-coding RNA, 266 nt
Filed under: Manihot esculenta (cassava)
Lineage: Eukaryota; Viridiplantae; Streptophyta; Magnoliopsida; Malpighiales; Euphorbiaceae
Description: long non-coding RNA (MESC_LNC012035)
Source: RNAcentral